Dunckerocampus dactyliophorus (ringed pipefish) is the source of this 6695-nucleotide RNA transcript. It is a transcript of the gene named angel homolog 2 (Drosophila), with no coding region annotated. The transcript has 11 exons. The record is from RefSeq and is a predicted model, not a curated record. NCBI's taxonomy places the organism in Eukaryota, Metazoa, Chordata, Actinopteri, Syngnathiformes, Syngnathidae.
CACGAAUGUUCUUUGGGGUCGCCAGAGGGACAAAGUCCAACAAGGUUUACGAUGAAGGGGUGAUGAUAUUUAUCAACUUGUAUGCUUUGGCCUUUGUGCGAGCAUAAUCAGAAAAUGCUGCUCCAGAAAGCUGACAUUUUAUUCUUGUGUCCACGUUUGUUUGCUAGCAAAAGUCUCUCUUCCACCUACCUCAUGUUUAUCCGCCAGUUGAGCUGCGUCCUCCUCCAACAGCGUGCUGCCUGCAGGCACACCUUCAGGAGGAAGAGCGGCCUCUCCUCCACCUCAUCCCGCCGCCUCUGGUUCACCUGCACUCUUCCUCCAUGGUUGCAGGGAUCUCCUCCUUUGCUCCCCUCCUUCCUGGCUCCUGCACCUCGUCACGUUACCUCCAUUAGGACGAGUUGGCGCUUGUUUUCCACCUCUGCUGUCCUCUUGAUGGACCGUGGAGGCCGUGAGCCUCCGUACAAACGGAGGAGGAGUUCAGAGGAGGAAACAGUCCAAGAUGGGGAUACAAACAGAGGAGCACCACUGCCACCUGGGGGGCUGAAGUCAAACGAUAGAGGACCCAGGAGCUGUCAUCAACAUCAUCACAUGGAUGCAUGGCCGCAGUUGGACUCUCGCUUCGGGGAUGCAAGUGGACGUGGACAAGGUUGGAGUGGAGAAGGCAGCAAGAGCAAGUACGUGGAGAGGACUAUAAGUGAAAGUCGAGAUAAAGAUGGCGGCGGGCGUGCACAGCCUCAAAACGCAUGGUCCAAAGCUGACAUGAGACCACACAGGGCGAGUGCAGACGAGCGACGUUCUCAUGGUUGGAAUGGAAGAGUGGCAGAGGAGCUUAUGAGAGGCUGGAGGGGCGAUGGAGCCUGGCCUCAGCUUGGCACCUCCUCAAAGCUACAGGAAGCAGAGGAGGAGCCUCCUCCACCAGGGACUGAGUCCGCUGUCAAACGAGCUCCACUGGAAGUCCUCCACAGACGAUGGGAGCCAUCACCAGCCUGCGGUACCAAGCCGGCACCACCAGAAGGCUGCAGAGUGCUUGACUUCUCAGUGAUGUCCUACAACAUCCUGUCCCAAGAUCUGCUGCAGGACAACCUCUACCUGUACCAGCACUGUCCCCCUCAGGUCCUGGCCUGGACGCACCGCCUGCCCAACCUACUGGCCGAGAUCCAGAAGUACGACGCUGAUGUGCUGUGCCUUCAAGAGGUGCAGGAGGACCACUUUGAAAACCAGAUCAGACCUGCUCUAGAAGCUCGAGGCUACCAUUGUGAGUACAAGAAGCGAACUGGGCAGAAACCCGACGGUUGUGCCAUUGUCUUCAAAACCUCGCGCCUGUCUCUCCUCUCCUCCAACCCCGUCGAGUUCUUCCGGCCUGGCGACACCCUCCUGGACCGCGACAAUGUGGGACUGGUGCUCCUGCUGCGGCCCAACCACGCCACGGGACCCUCUGACUCGUCCAACGUCCUCUGCGUGGCCAACACGCACCUCCUGUACAACCCCCGUCGAGGAGACGUCAAGCUGGCCCAGCUGGCCAUCCUAUUGGCCGAGAUCGGCCGCUUGUCCCGCCUCCCGGACGGCUCCAGCCAUCCAGUGGUCCUGUGUGGGGAUUUUAACUGCACCCCAUGGAGUCCGCUUUUCAGCUUCCUGACCCGCGGCUGCCUGGAGUACCGAGGACUUCCCAUCAGCACGGUGUCAGGUCAGGAGUAUUCGAGGGGUCAGCGUCUGCUGGAGACCCCCAUCUGGUCUCCCAGUUUAGGAAUCAACCAGCAGUGCCAGUACGAGAGCGCCACAGAGUCGUUGUCCUCCUGCGCCACAGUGGAGCAACAAAUCUCUCAUCUGACUGUUGAAGAUGUGGCCAACAGAGCUGCCGCUCAUGCUUCGAAAAGGUGGAGGAUCGAGCACGGCUUGAACCUUCGCUCGUCCUAUCCGCCUCGCCUGAUGCCUGACGGGAGACCCGCCAUCACCACCUGUCACUCGCGCACCGCCAUGAUGGUGGACUACAUCCUGUACACGCCUGACUCACUUCCGGGUGGGCGGGGCCUCCAGCUGCUGGGCAGGCUGUCUUUGGUCGGCCAGCCGGAGCUGCAGGAGGUCGGCGGCCUGCCCAAUCAGCAGCACUCCUCGGACCACCUUCCUCUGCUGGUGCGCUUCCGCUGGGUUGUCACGGCGACAGAAGACGGCCGAUCAUGACGUCAAACAAAACAAGGACCCCUCUCAAGGAUUGCUGUUUCGUUGGAUAAAGAGUGAAAUGAAGACAAGAACAUGAAUACACAAUCAAGUCUUUUUCGAAAUAAAACAUUCAACACUUCAAAAACACCAACAUUCGGCUUUCCCUGCCACUUCAGUCAUGAGAAACUCAUGAAAAUGCGCCCUCGAGUUUGUUCUCAGGCUCCGCUUCCUCUGUUCUGGAAGACUUGGACGUGUGCAUAGCGCCUCCUUGUGGAAAGUCACAAACAUUCAGUCCAGUAUGACGACAACAAAAUGAAAACAACACCUUGAGUAACAGUUCAACACCUGGGGUCUCCAACAGCAGUACAGUACACGUACACCAGUGCUGUGGCAGCUCACCACAAAUACAUUUGGACUGCUACAAAUAUAUUUGUGUAAGAAUAAGAAGAUGUAGCACAGGGGUGUCCAAACUUUUUCCAGCGAGGGCCACAUCGUGAAAUAUCAAAGGAUGCAACUUUUGCCACUUAUGCUGAGAAUAUAAGAGUUAAAAAAAAACUGCAUCCCAGGCUUUGUGAUACAGGUGGAAAAGCCUUUUAUUAGGAUCAACCGCCUCCUGCCCGAAGUCAGCUGGGAUAGACUCCAGCAAAUUGCGACUUUUCUUCUUAAGAGUAUGACUUUUCUCUUAAUAUUUUGACUUCAUUCUUGUAAAAGCACAGCUGAUUUUUUCCAUUUCUGCUGUUUUUCUUGUAAAUUUUCUUCUUGUAAUUGACUUUCACAAAAUAUUUGCUUUUUUUUUUACUUGUCGUAUUAUAACUUUUUUCGCAACCUAAUUUUACAAAAAUUUCAACUUUAUUCAUUGUUGUUUGUUUCUCAUAAUAACCUUUUUUAAAUAUAUAUAAUAGCCUCUUUUUUCUUUGAUGUUUCAACUUUCUCCUACUGACGAUAUUCUUGUAAAAACGUCCUCUUGUUAGAUUACACCUUUUUUCUCUUAAUAUUUUGGCUUUAUUUUUUGUGACUGCUGAUUUUUCCAGUUAAAUUUGAUUUUUUAGAAUGUGACGUGGGCCAAUAAAAAAAUAGCCACUGCUGCAAAUGGCGCCCAGGCCGCACUGUGGACACCCCUGAUGUAGCAAGAGAGAUACAUGUUGCCAACUAAACAACUCUGUCUAUAGUUAGUGUGUAAUCAGAGCCGUCUGGGUACUUUUUCAAAACAGUAACUGGCAUUUUGCGUCUAGUGAGGAGACUUCUGCUGACAUGAAAGCACGUAUUGAUGAGCAGUGGGUGUUGCGACAUUGAGACAUUGAAAAAAAAAAAAAAAACCCCGACAAGAAGCGACUGAAGAAAGUUAGUUUUGCUUUUCGUGUUUUUUACUCACUUUUCGCAAAGGUCAUUACGUCACCGCCACAUAUAGAUUGGAGUCCUGUGGAUGCGCAUGUACAUGUAUACACGUGUGAUGGGCCGUGCUAAAAGAACGCAAGUUCAUGACUGGCUGGUCUCAAAUCAGCACCACUUCCUGUCUUCAUGGAGAGAAACUCUGACAUCCAUCAAGACGAGGCUUCAUUUCUGACCUUGCAGAUGUUGGAAGGAGACUUCUCCACUGAUUGAUGUUGUUGAUAAUCUUCUCCAGUUCUCCUCCUGGGAGUAAACAUGACUGAAGCAACGUCAUGCAAAGAAGACAGACAGCACUAAUGGAUGGAAGAGAUCUCCAAAGACAGGAACACUCCGUCGCAUCUCUCAAGCCUUGUUGAGAUGAUUGGUCCAUUUAGAGGACGAGUCCAGGAUGAUCUGCUACAAAAUUGAUGGACGUCUCGUCUUUGGCCGGGAAGGUGACGGGGGGUGGGGUCAAAUUCGUAUCUGGUAGCCGUCGUUGAGUGUGCUGAGUUCCGGAGGUUUCUUCUCCACCGACGCCGGCCUGACGGAGUACAGAACAACGGAGAUGUUAUUUUGGAUUUUCCUCAACAACUGCAAGAACUUCACAUCACACACUCUGACCAUCAAGUUCCUGAUUCUCUACGUUCUGAUUUGAAAUAUGUGUUAAAACGUUACGUUUUAACACAUUAGGUGUAUUUGCACAUAGUAUCAGAUCGGUACGGCCGAUACCAGCCUGAAUUUUACCCAAUAUCUGAUUGGGAAUUAAAUCAGUGGUAUCGCUCAUCACUAGAGCACACACACUGCAUUAAUCCUUGUGUAAACACACGGAAAUGCGUGUGAGGUCGCGCUUUUGCGCAUGCAGGUCACUUUCUGGACGCUUUUCGUCGCAUUUUUUUGGUAAUGUGAACAUUAAAAAAUUGGCUUUAGACAAAAAAUCCGAACUGGGCAUCAUACCCUGCAGUGUGAACACAGCCUUACAGCGUAGUACGGUAUUCUUUGACUUCUAGAAACACUGCAGGAGUCAUGUGACCCGGCACCAUCACACACACACAAAGUGAUGUGAUGUGAGGUGGCAAAGGUCGGGGCGGUGCCACGUCGACAUUAAUUUUCCUGCGUGCCGACUUGGCGACUCGCAGCUGUCGUCCAAGUCAGCUCGUGUUUCAUCCCGACGCACAGCUGACAGUGCUUAGGCACGCUCCGUGUGUGUUUGUGUGCGCCUGUGUGUUCACGUGUGGCAGCUAGAAUCAGAGACACACACGCAGAUUGACACAUGUGAUGAUAAGUGUCAGCCGAGCACCAGCACCUCAUGAACAAAUGUUAACUUGUGUGUGUGUGUGUGUGUGUCGUCGUACUGCCAGGACAAUGCAGUCCUCAGGAUGCUAAAGCGCACGUGAAAGCAAUGUGUCAGGGAGGACAGACAGCUUGUGACAGCGAGACCACUUACGAUUUGUCUCUGCGGUGCGGCAGGCGGUGCUGCGGGCUGCCCUGGCGGCGUCGUGGCGACAGAGACUUCCCGCGGCUCCGCUCCUUGAUUGGAGACUGAGCGCUGGAGGACUUGAGGAUCUGAUGAAAGAAGAGCAAGACUAAAUUGGUAAUAUUGAGGUGACGUACAGUAGGUAUCGCGUAAACACACUGACAUCGCCAACAACCACUGUCGCCAUGAUGGCUACAACCACAGACAAGUAAUACUAAUAGUGUGUGUGUGUGUGCGUGUGUGUGUUGAGUUUAGGAGUCAGUAGGAGAAGAAAAGUGUCAACUCAGCACACAUGGUGAUGACUUUUCCUGGCUUACAUUGAACAGCUGCUCCCAGCUGUUCAUCAUGUGAUUGCUAAUAAGUGGGUCACUGUGUGUGUGUGUGUGUGUGUGUGUGUGUGUGUGUGUCCUGUGUCUUGUACUACCCUUUAUCCAACUUUACUAAACAGCAAACUUACAUCUACACACAUAAUGCCAUGCUAUUAUCCCUGAUGCUAACCCAAGGCGAGUGCCAUUCGCAUAGCGCUAAUGUGAUGCAGUGCGAGUGUCGUAUUGUCGUAUACAUUAGCUGCUAAACCUUGCAGAACACAAACACACAACACCAAAGUCUAUUUAUAAAAAAAAAGUCAUUCUUUGGGAUUCAGAUGAGAUUACAACAAAGCUUCGCACAGCUGACAGCGUGUGUGUUGUGACGAAUGACUGACCUACAUAGCAUGCAGCCUAGUUCAAGUACUGCUACCUGACACUGCACACUUCUACUCAUCUUGUGUUUAUUUCUGUAACCAACUUUGCUUGACAACACACUAUUUAUUAUGGAAUAUAUAUAUGAAUAUAAUGUGAAUGUAUGACGAUUAUUUAUUGCACCAUGAACUUGUUUCGUGCACGUACCUUCAUCCGCAUGUCGCGGCCAUGUUUCUCCAGCUCCCUCUUCAUCUCCUGAGGGCCCAGCUUGGCUGCGUUCAGCACCAAAUACUUCCACUCGAUGGACUGGCACACGUGGGGGUCGUGAGGCACGUACAGGCCGAUCUUCACCUGGGGGUCGUGUGGCAGCUCAACUUUAUUCGUACGUCGUCCAAAGACAACACGAGGUGUCAUGUGUUAGUGUGGUGUCGGUGUGGCGUGGCACUACUGUACCUUCUUGAGGCUGUGCUGGUAUCGCUUGUAGGAGCUCUCAAACUCGGCCACCAGCUCCCCGAGUGUUCGGUGGCUGAGCGUCUUGUCCAUGAGGUCUGGUCGGCGGCUCAUGCCCAGAGAUCCGUAGCGGCCGUUGCAGUAGACACCGAGCACCACGUGGUGGAAACAGUGGCCCGAGAACUGAGUCUUGAAGCUAAUGGGGAACCUCUCCAGAGAUGUCAGGCCGUUGGUCAGGUAGCUGCAAGGUGCAUGUGAGGAAACUUCUUGUUCUACGUGGAUUUAGCCAGGAGCUCUAACAACAAAUUAAAAGCAAUGUGAUGGCCUUGUGUGUGUGUGUUUGUAUUCUAUGAAUUUUUUUCAUGUGAUGUCAGGCCCAUUAUGUCAAAAUGAAAACAAAACUGCUAAAAAAGGAAACCAAACAAGGCCAGAUAAACUGUUAGUACAUAAAAGUGUUAUAGCCUACUUUGGACUAGUGAUGCGAGAUUACUCGAUUCCUUUGACUGACUCGCACAUGCGAUUAAGUAAAAAAAAAAAAAAAAUGCGAGUUUUGAAGGAAAGUUCGU